GGCGCGGUGGCAUGAUGGUUAGCGCGUUGGACUCCGGAUCAAGCGGUCCAGGUUCGAGCGAUGGCCUGGGUCA
This is a non-coding RNA of Desmophyllum pertusum, 73 nucleotides long. The record is from the annotation of a GenBank genome assembly. NCBI's taxonomy places the organism in Eukaryota, Metazoa, Cnidaria, Anthozoa, Scleractinia, Caryophylliidae.